This 735-nucleotide non-coding RNA is filed under the name Convexana sp. 1 JW-2022a. Lineage: Eukaryota; Metazoa; Arthropoda; Insecta; Hemiptera; Cicadellidae. The record is from RNAcentral.
AUAAUAAGUAUAAUUUUUGCUUAAAAGUUAAUUGUUUUUAUUUAUUACAUGAUUUUUUUUUAAUAUUUAAUAUUCAGUAAUUAAUUUUAUUUUUUAAAUUAAUUUUUAAUUAGUAAUAAAAUUAAAUUGGAUAAAAGUUGUGCCAGCAAUCGCGGUUAUACAAUUUAUUUAAAUUAAUUUUAUUGGUUUAUAAUUAUUAUUUUUAAUGAUUUAAAAUUUAUAAAAUUUGGGUGGAAUUUAUUUUAUUUUUUUUUCUUUAAUAAAAUUGCUUAGUAAAUUUUAAUUUAAAACUAGGAUUAGAUACCCUAUUAUUUAAUAAAAAUAAUUAUUCCUGGAUAUUAAUAAUUAAUUUUUAUAAAACCCAUAAAAUUUGGCGGUUAAUUAAAUCUUUUUAGAGGAAUUUGUUUUGUAAUUGUCAAAUCACGAUAUUUUUUACCCUUUUUUUUGUUUGUAUACCGUUAUUAUUUAUAUUAUUUCCUUAGAAAUAUUAUUCAAAUUUUAUAAAUUUUAUGUUAGAUCAAGGUGCAGUUUUAUUUAGGAAAAUAUGAAUUACUUUAAUUUUAAAUCAAUUUAGAAUUAGUUUUUAAUUAUAAUUAUGAAAAUGGAUUUAAUAGUAAAUUUAAUUAUUUAGUUAUUUUGAAAAAUGUUCUAAUUAAUGUACAUAUCGCCCGUCACUCCUAUUUAUAUAGGAUAAGUCGUAACAAAGUAAUUGUACUGGAAAGUGUAAUUAGAAUU